CAAAAACAUCGCCUCCUGCAAAAAUCAAUGUAUAAGAGGUCCUACCUGCCCAGUGACUUAGUUAAACGGCCGCGGUAUUUUGACCGUGCAAAGGUAGCGCAAUCACUUGUCUUUUAAAUAAAGACCUGUAUGAAUGGUGAAACGAGGGCUUAACUGUCUCCCCUUUCUGAUCAGUGAAAUUGAUCUACCCGUGCAGAAGCGGGUAUAAAAAUGCAAGACGAGAAGACCCUAUGGAGCUUUAGACAUAAAGUCAUCUAUGUCAAAAAUCCCAGAUACGGGAGCAAAACAAAAUAGCAAUUGACUAAUGUCUUCGGUUGGGGCGACCACGGGGAAAAAUAGAUCCCCCACGUGGAGUGGAAAAUUUUCCUAGAACCGCGAGGUACACCUCUAAGUCACAGUAUUUCUGACCAAGAGAUCCGGCCUUUUGGCCGAUCAACGAACCAAGUUACCCUAGGGAUAACAGCGCAAUCCCCUUUGAGAGUCCUUAUCGACAAGGGGGUUUACGACCUCGAUGUUGGAUCAGGACAUCCUAAUGGUGCAGCCGCUAUUAAGGGUUCGUUUGUUCAACGAUUAAAGUCCUACGUGAUCUGAG
Molecule: ribosomal RNA, 592 nt
Filed under: Bryconella pallidifrons
Lineage: Eukaryota; Metazoa; Chordata; Actinopteri; Characiformes; Acestrorhamphidae
Description: partial 16S large subunit ribosomal RNA
Rfam family: Bacterial large subunit ribosomal RNA
Source: RNAcentral